Molecule: ribosomal RNA, 253 nt
Filed under: uncultured bacterium
Lineage: Bacteria
Description: partial 16S ribosomal RNA
Rfam family: Bacterial small subunit ribosomal RNA
Source: RNAcentral
UACGAAGGGGGCUAGCGUUGUUCGGAUUUACUGGGCGUAAAGCGCACGUAGGCGGACUUUUAAGUCAGGGGUGAAAUCCCGGGGCUCAACCCCGGAACUGCCUUCGAUACUGGCGAUCUUGAGUCCGGGAGAGGUGAGUGGAACUCCGAGUGUAGAGGUGAAAUUCGUAGAUAUUCGGAAGAACACCAGUGGCGAAGGCGGCUCACUGGCCCGGUACUGACGCUGAUAUGCGAAAGCGUGGGGAGCAAACAGG